This 253-nucleotide ribosomal RNA is filed under the name uncultured bacterium. RNAcentral's name for it is "partial 16S ribosomal RNA". It matches the Rfam family "Bacterial small subunit ribosomal RNA", at positions 524 to 776 of the family's 1533-position model. The record is from RNAcentral.
UACGUAGGGUGCAAGCGUUGUCCGGAAUUAUUGGGCGUAAAGAGCUCGUAGGCGGUUUGUCACGUCGGCUGUGAAAACCCGAGGCUCAACCUCGGGCCUGCAGUCGAUACGGGCAAACUAGAGUACUGCAGGGGAGACUGGAAUUCCUGGUGUAGCGGUGAAAUGCGCAGAUAUCAGGAGGAACACCGGUGGCGAAGGCGGGUCUCUGGGCAGUAACUGACGCUGAGGAGCGAAAGCGUGGGGAGCGAACAGG